Molecule: long non-coding RNA, 604 nt
Organism: Lates calcarifer (barramundi perch)
Lineage: Eukaryota; Metazoa; Chordata; Actinopteri; Centropomidae
Exons: 4
Source: RefSeq, a predicted model, not a curated record
AGCUGCGUGAGCAUUUCGCUCCUCAAACCGAGAACAGCCCGCAGACUACGCAAAGCUAGCAUCUCCUGUAUCUCAUUUUCCUUCACAAAACAGACCGUGCUUCUCACCUGGUGGCAGGUGUUUGGAUAAGGCCAUCUUGCUGUAGGUGAUGACUGAAGCUAUAUCAAGAGGAACUAUAGGCAUGGCCAAGUCCAUUCUGGCAAACCUGGAACAUCAACACAGGAGCGGGACGAGGUUGGACAGGAACUCGGAAAACUUCUGAUGCUCAGGAGGCUCAGUCAGGUUCGCUCUGUGCUGGAGGUCUCAGCUUUCUUUUGUCCCACCACGCAGACUGAAAGAAUUGUUUCCUUAGUUAUGCAACUUAUGAAAUCCAGCCUGUCUGAAUAUGUGCUUUGAAGACUGUCAUUGUUUCACUGCAGUUCCAAGGAGGAAAUGCUCAUCCAUGGUGUUGAAUACUUAUUUCUAUCACAAUAUGUCUCGUAUCAAAUAAAAAGCCCUUUAUGGACAGUUUAACAAGGUGGAAAACUUGAUUUUCAUUGAAGGGGGUUAAUGUAAAGGAAAAACAAAACAAAAACAAUUGGCUGGAAUUAAUCAGCAGCAGUGG